UUUCCGUUGGUGAACCAGCGGAGGGAUCAUU
RNAcentral lists this ribosomal RNA (31 nucleotides) under Kohlmeyeriella crassa. RNAcentral's name for it is "partial 18S ribosomal RNA". The record is from RNAcentral. Lineage: Eukaryota; Fungi; Ascomycota; Sordariomycetes; Lulworthiales; Lulworthiaceae.